UGCCAGACUCCUACGGGAGGCAGCAGUGAGGAAUAUUGGUCAAUGGCCGCAGGGCUGAACCAGCCAAGUCGCGUGAGGGAUGACGGUCCUAUGGAUUGUAAACCUCUUUUGUCAGGGAGCAAAGGGCGCCACGUGUGGCGUUUUGCGAGUACCUGAAGAAAAAGCAUCGGCUAACUCCGUGCCAGCAGCCGCGGUAAUACGGAGGAUGCGAGCGUUAUCCGGAUUUAUUGGGUUUAAAGGGUGCGCAGGCGGAAUGUCAAGUCAGCGGUAAAAUUUCGGGGCUCAACCCCGUCGUGCCGUUGAAACUGGCGUUCUUGAGUGAGCGAGAAGUAUGCGGAAUGCGUGGUGUAGCGGUGAAAUGCGUAGAUAUUAGGAGGAACACCAGUGGCGAAGGCGGCUUACUGGACGGUAACUGACGUUGAGGCUCGAAAGCGUGGGGAGCAAACAGGAUU
RNAcentral lists this ribosomal RNA (452 nucleotides) under uncultured bacterium. RNAcentral's name for it is "bacterial SSU rRNA". It matches the Rfam family "Bacterial small subunit ribosomal RNA", at positions 329 to 779 of the family's 1533-position model. The record is from RNAcentral.